GACGGAGGGCGCAAGCGUUGUUCGGAAUCAUUGGGCGUAAAGCGUAUGCAGGCGGCCAAGUCAGUCCGAUGUGAAACCCCGGGGCUCAACCCCGGACGUGCAUUGGAGACUGCUUGGCUUGAGUCCGAGAGGGGUCAGUGGAAUUCCUGGUGUAGGGGUGAAAUCCGUAGAUAUCAGGAGGAACACCGGCGGCGAAGGCGACUGACUGGAUCGGAACUGACGCUGAGAUACGAAAGCGCGGGUAGCGAACAGG
Molecule: unclassified non-coding RNA, 253 nt
Filed under: uncultured Bradymonadales bacterium
Lineage: Bacteria; Deltaproteobacteria; Bradymonadales
Description: contains 16S-23S intergenic spacer region
Rfam family: Bacterial small subunit ribosomal RNA
Source: RNAcentral